RNAcentral lists this long non-coding RNA (1276 nucleotides) under Glycine max (soybean). Its description in RNAcentral is "long non-coding RNA (GMAX_LNC002579)". The record is from RNAcentral. Lineage: Eukaryota; Viridiplantae; Streptophyta; Magnoliopsida; Fabales; Fabaceae.
GAUUCUUGCAAUUUUAUAUUUUAAACCAACAUUGACCUUUUUGUGGUUUUAGAUAAUCAUUUGUUCUUCUAAUGAGUGUGCCGAGGAAGCUUAAACUUGAUACCUUUUCUUUAAUUAACUUUUAGAGCAACCAAUAAUCGCAACCACCUCGUUACCUAAAAAAGAAUUGCAACCACUUUAACAUGAUUGAUUAUUUUACAAACUGCUGAUUCUCUUUGUUUCCCCUGAAUUAAACCAUUUUCAUCGAUACAGAAUCAUUAGGUAAUCAAUCAUUAACACUUAGCAAAGGUACCAAACCAAUUCGCUACUAUUCCUUUUUCGAUGCUAUAUAUUGAAUGCACCACGUUCAAUACAAAAGGAAGAAAACCAGAUUGAGCUUCUAAUCAUUUAAGUUCCUAUCUGAUUUUUUUUAAUGUCUUAAUGCGGAAACACCAGUUUUUCCAUUUUUUUUUAAAACGCUACCUUGUAAUAUUAUAUUAUAGUUUUUGAGCGGAAAAUAACUUUUUGAUUCAAGAAAAUUUAGAUUGGGGGAAGACACUUCCUUUGCAAUGUCAAGAAAGAUCACCAAUCUCAAAAAUGUUUAUAAUGGAAUUUGCAUGUCACGUCCCAACGAAGAAGCACACUUAGUGUGAGCGGAAGAUUACCAUAUGUGUCAACCUUACUUGGUAAAGAUGAUUUUUUUGAAACCUGAAAUGAAUGUGUUUUAUUUUAAUUAUUUUAACAUAUUAAAUGUGUUUUAGACUAUGCUGAAGAAGAGGUGUUGGUAAGGAAGAAGGGGAAAGGAGGUACAACUAAAGGUGACAUAUACGUAUAGGAAGCAGAGGAUGGACGUGUAUAUGGAGGAGGGUAUGUGAAGCAAAACACGUACCAAAGAAAGGGGAGGAAGCAAUGAAUGAUAAGCAAAGACCUUAUGAUAAAGAGAUCCUUCUAUUGAAUAUGGGUCAAAGGGGACUAAGGGAAGCCAUUGAAAGCAUGCCUCCCAUCAACACAAUGGGUUCAAGAAUUUAUCUAGAGCACCGAUGAUGAAAGCUCAAGCCAAGCUGAUGAAGUGCACUGGACAUCCUGCCAACACUAUGACUUGUAGUGGCAUCGACUUGAAGAGUAGUAAAUGCGGGAGGGAGUUCCAACUCUGUUAUUGUUGUCAAAGAUGUAAUGGCAGAAGGUAAAAAAUUAUGAACUUUGGCGCAAAAAAUGGGAGGGAUGUUCUAUGGAAGCGAAAAGGAGAUGGUACACGACUUGGUGAACCUUGAAUUGAGAGAUAAUGGGGCAAAAGAAC